GGACUACCCGGGUAUCUAAUCCGUUUUGCUCCCCACGCUUUCAUGCCUCAAUGUCAGUAACAGAAUAGUUAACUGCCUUCGCUAUAUUGAUGUUCUUUCAUAUAUCUACGCAUUUUACCGCUCCACAUAAAGUUCCGUUAACCUCUCCUGUACUCAAGUUCGACAGUAUUACUAACUUCCACGAGGUUGAGCCUCGAUUUCCCACCAGUAACUUAUCGAACCAUCUACGCAUCCUUUACGCCCAAUAAUUCCGGAUAAUGUUCGUCACCUAUGUCUUACCGCGGCUGCUGGCAC
This 294-nucleotide ribosomal RNA is filed under the name uncultured bacterium. RNAcentral describes it as "partial 16S ribosomal RNA". The record is from RNAcentral.